GAGUUUGAUCCUGGCUCAGAUUGAACGCUGGCGGCAUGCCUUACACAUGCAAGUCGAACGGCAGCACGGGAGCUUGCUCCUGGUGGCGAGUGUCGAACGGGUGAGUAAUGCAUCGGAACGUAUCCUGGAGUGGGGGAUAACGUAGCGAAAGUUACGCUAAUACCGCAUAUUCUGUGAGCAGGAAAGCGGGGGACCUUCGGGCCUCGCGCUCUUGGAGCGGCCGAUGUCGGAUUAGCUAGUUGGUGAGGUAAAGGCUCACCAAGGCGACGAUCCGUAGCAGGUCUGAGAGGAUGAUCUGCCACACUGGAACUGAGACACGGUCCAGACUCCUACGGGAGGCAGCAGUGGGAAUUUGGACAAUGGGGGCAACCCUGAUCCAGCCAUGCCGCGUGAGUGAAGAAGGCC
RNAcentral lists this ribosomal RNA (405 nucleotides) under bacterium enrichment culture clone ALO1_GLFRUDD03GGP97. RNAcentral's name for it is "bacterial SSU rRNA". It matches the Rfam family "Bacterial small subunit ribosomal RNA", at positions 9 to 416 of the family's 1533-position model. The record is from RNAcentral.